UCUGUCAAGUCGGAUGUGAAAUCCCCGGGCUCAACCUGGGAACUGCAUUCGAAACUGGCAGGCUAGAGUCUUGUAGAGGGGGGUAGAAUUCCAGGUGUAGCGGUGAAAUGCGUAGAGAUCUGGAGGAAUACCGGUGGCGAAGGCGGCCCCCUGGACAAAGACUGACGCUCAGGUGCGAAAGCGUGGGGAGCAAACAGGAUUAGAUACCCUGGUAGUCCACGCCGUAAACGAUGUCGACUUGGAGGUUGUGCCCUUGAGGCGUGGCUUCCGGAGCUAACGCGUUAAGUCGACCGCCUGGGGAGUACGGCCGCAAGGUUAAAACUCAAAUGAAUUGACGGGGGCCCGCACAAGCGGUGGAGCAUGUGGUUUAAUUCGAUGCAACGCGAAGAACCUUACCUA
RNAcentral lists this ribosomal RNA (399 nucleotides) under Enterobacter hormaechei. RNAcentral describes it as "bacterial SSU rRNA". It matches the Rfam family "Bacterial small subunit ribosomal RNA", at positions 579 to 977 of the family's 1533-position model. Lineage: Bacteria; Pseudomonadati; Pseudomonadota; Gammaproteobacteria; Enterobacterales; Enterobacteriaceae. The record is from RNAcentral.